Molecule: ribosomal RNA, 497 nt
Filed under: uncultured bacterium
Lineage: Bacteria
Description: partial 16S ribosomal RNA
Rfam family: Bacterial small subunit ribosomal RNA
Source: RNAcentral
GAUGAACGCUGGCGGCGUGCCUAAUACAUGCAAGUCGAGCGAACAGACGAGGAGCUUGCUCCUCUGACGUUAGCGGCGGACGGGUGAGUAACACGUGGAUAACCUACCUAUAAGACUGGGAUAACUUCGGGAAACCGGAGCUAAUACCGGAUAAUAUAUUGCACCGCAUGGUUCAAUAGUGAAAGACGGUUUUGCUGUCACUUAUAGAUGGAUCCGCGCCGCAUUAGCUAGUUGGUAAGGUAACGGCUUACCAAGGCGACGAUGCGUAGCCGACCUGAGAGGGUGAUCGGCCACACUGGAACUGAGACACGGUCCAGACUCCUACGGGAGGCAGCAGUAGGGAAUCUUCCGCAAUGGGCGAAAGCCUGACGGAGCAACGCCGCGUGAGUGAUGAAGGUCUUCGGAUCGUAAAACUCUGUUAUGAGGGAAGAACAAAUGUGUAAGUAACUAUGCACGUCUUGACGGUACCUAAUCAGAAAGCCACGGCUAACUACGUG